CCUACGGGUGGCAGCAGUGAGGAAUAUUGGUCAAUGGGCGCGAGCCUGAACCAGCCAAGUCGCGUGAAUGAUGACUGCCCUACGGGUUGUAAACUUUUUUUAUAAAGGAAUAAAGUGAGGCACGUAUGCCUUUUUGUCUGUACUUUAUGAAUACGGAUCGGCUAACUCCGUGCCAGCCGCCGCGGUAAUACGGAGGAUCCGAGCGUUAUCCGGAUUUAUUGGGUUUAAGGGGAGCGUAGAUGGGUUGUUAAGUCAGUUGUGAAAGUUUGCGGCUCAACCGUAAAAUUGCAAUUGAUACUGGCAGACUUGAGUGCAGUUGAGGUAGGCGGAAUUCGUGGUGUAGCGGUGAAAUGCUUAGAUAUCACGAAGAACUCCGAUUGCGAAGGCAGCCUACUAAACUGCCACUGACAUUGAGGCUCGAAAGUGUGGGUAUCAAACAGGAUUAGAUACCCCGGUAGUC
Molecule: ribosomal RNA, 460 nt
Filed under: uncultured bacterium
Lineage: Bacteria
Description: partial 16S ribosomal RNA
Rfam family: Bacterial small subunit ribosomal RNA
Source: RNAcentral